ACGGCUCAGUAACACGUGGAUAACCUGCCCAAGGGUCCGGGAUAACCCCGGGAAACUGGGGAUAAUACCGGAUGGGUCACUUAUGCUGGAAUGCUUGGUGGUCGAAAGGUGACGCCCUUGGAUGGGUCUGCGGCGGAUUAGGUUGACGCCGGUGUAACGUACCGGCGUGCCUGUAAUCCGUACGGGUUGUGGGAGCAAGAGCCCGGAGAUGGAUUCUGAGACACGAAUCCAGGCCCUACGGGGCGCAGCAGGCGCGAAAACUCUACAAUGCAGGCAACUGCGAUAGGGGGACAUCGAGUGGCAUCCACCUUGGGUGCCUGUCCCACCGUCUAAAAAACGGUGGUUAGCAAGGGCCGGGCAAGACCGGUGCCAGCCGCCGCGGUAAUACCGGCGGCUCGAGUGGUGGCCGAUAUUAUUGAGUCUAAAGGGUCCGUAGCCGGCUUUGCAAGUCCCCUGGGAAAUCCAGCGGCUUAACCGUUGGGCUUUCAUGGGAUACUACAUUGCUUGGGACUGGGAGAGGUAGGAGGUACUCGGGGGGUAGGGGUGAAAUCCUGUAAUCCCCCGGGGACCACCGGUGGCGAAGGCGUCCUACCAGAACAGGUCCGACGGUGAGGGACGAAAGCUAGGGGCACGAACCGGAUUAGAUACCCGGGUAGUCCUAGCCGUAAACGAUGCCCGCUAGGUGUCACGGCGGUCGUGAAUCGCCGUGGUGCCGUAGGGAAGCCGCGAAGCGGGCCACUUGGGAAGUACGGCCGCAAGGCUGAAACUUAAAGGAAUUGGCGGGGGAGCAC
Molecule: ribosomal RNA, 791 nt
Filed under: uncultured Methanosarcinaceae archaeon
Lineage: Archaea; Methanobacteriati; Methanobacteriota; Methanomicrobia; Methanosarcinales; Methanosarcinaceae
Description: bacterial SSU rRNA
Rfam family: Archaeal small subunit ribosomal RNA
Source: RNAcentral